Molecule: ribosomal RNA, 464 nt
Filed under: uncultured bacterium
Lineage: Bacteria
Description: partial 16S ribosomal RNA
Rfam family: Bacterial small subunit ribosomal RNA
Source: RNAcentral
GAUGAACGCUGGCGGUAUGCCUAAUACAUGCAAGUCGAGCGGAAAGGCCCCUUCGGGGGUACUCGAGCGGCGGACGGCAGAGUAACGCGUAGGAACGUACCCCAAACUGAGGGAUAACUGCUCGAAAGAGUAGCUAAUACCGCAUGUGGUCUUCGGACUAAAGCCUUCGGGCGGUUUGGGAACGGCCUGCGUUCGAUUAGCUAGUUGGUGAGGUAAAUGCUCACCAAGGCGACGAUCGAUAGCUGGUCUGAGAGGAUGAUCAGCCUGACUGGAACUGAGACACGGUCCAGACUCCUACGGGAGGCAGCAGUAGGGAAUAUUGGGCAAUGGGCGCAAGCCUGACCCAGCAACGCCGCGUGAAGGAAGAAGGCUUUCGGGUUGUAAACUUCUUUUGUCAGGGACGAAGCAAGUGACGGUACCUGACGAAUAAGCCACGGCUAACUACGUGCCAGCAGCCGCCGUAA